RNAcentral lists this ribosomal RNA (485 nucleotides) under uncultured bacterium. RNAcentral's name for it is "partial 16S ribosomal RNA". It matches the Rfam family "Bacterial small subunit ribosomal RNA", at positions 29 to 523 of the family's 1533-position model. The record is from RNAcentral.
AGUGAACGCUGGCGGCGUGCUUAACAUAUGCAAGUCGAACGAGAACGGAAUAUAGCUUGCUAUAUUUGUCAGCUAAGUGGCGCACGGGUGAGUAAUAUAUAGAUAACCUGCCCUUAAGAAAGGAAUAAAAGUUGGAAACGAUGGCUAAUGACCUAUAUGCCUAUAAUACACAAGUAAGCAAGGGAAACGCCUUAGUGCUUAAGGAUGUGUCUGUAUGGUCUCAGCUUGUUGUUGAGGUACUGGCUCACCAAGGCUAUGACGCCUAACUGGUUUGAGAGAAUGAUCAGUCACACUUGAACUGAGACACGGUCCAGACUCCUACGGGAGGCAGCAGUGGGGAAUAUUGCACAAUGGACUAAAGUCUGAUGCAGCAACGCCGCGUGGAGGAUUACACAUUUGGGUGCGUAAACUCCUUUUAUGUAGGAAGAUAAUGACGGUACUAUAUGAAUAAGCACCGGCUAACUCCGUGCCAGCAGCCGCCGUAA